ACAGCCGCAAAGAAACCACGGCGGCGGGGCUGUAAUCAGAGGCAGAACGGCUCGCUGUUUCCUAGCAAUGGAUAACGGCCUUGAUAAGUGUUAGAAAGCAGUAAACCUCGGAGGCAGCAACAGUGUGUGUGCACGUGACGGGUUUAGUCCGAAAAGUGGGGCAGGUGCGCCAGAAUGGGUGCGCACGCAACGAGAUGCCUGUAGAGGCACUGAGCAACCACGUCCCCAUCGUUACUCGUCUCCAGGAAGCACAAGCGGUUGCAGCAACGUUCAUGCCCGAAUGUGUCUAAUUGAUCGGUCCGGCAAGUUGAGAAAUACAAGAACGAAGUUCCCAACAAGCACGAGCAGAAGCGUAGCGCGUAACGACGCCAGCCUCAUCGCCAUCGACAUUCUCCAACGCCGUUUCAAGGCAGCCCGUGCAGACUGUCUCUAUCUAUUCUGCUAUACCCGAACAUGAGCACUUCGUUCUUUUCUUCGUUGACUUUCUCGCACGCUUCCAGAACUUUUGUCACGUGUUCGGCUUUAUCGACUGUGACAGUCACGUCGUCUGCGAACGGUCCGACUGGUACUACCGCACCCGAUGGCGAUCACCGGUCCCCAACUGCAGUUUUUCAAUGUGGUGGCGAGCUGGCGAGGGUCUGUCCAUGACAGCCGCAUCUUUGACAACUUUCGAUCACGAGUUUUGUACGAAGAGCACCGGGUGGCUGGACUGCUGCUAGUAGACAUGGGCUAUGCCUGUUCCCCGCUUCUCAUGACUCGCCAGACACGGGACCGAAAGACACAGCAUGAGGCAGCCCUGCACAAAUCUGAUGAUCCACAUCGAUUAAGAACUACCACUUGCUGAGAGUAGUGGCUAUUGAC
Long non-coding RNA from Ornithodoros turicata, 861 nucleotides. RefSeq lists it as uncharacterized. Lineage: Eukaryota; Metazoa; Arthropoda; Arachnida; Ixodida; Argasidae. The transcript has 6 exons. The record is from RefSeq and is a predicted model, not a curated record.